RNAcentral lists this ribosomal RNA (879 nucleotides) under Nebrioporus clarkii. RNAcentral's name for it is "SSU rRNA". It matches the Rfam family "Eukaryotic small subunit ribosomal RNA", at positions 602 to 1362 of the family's 1831-position model. Lineage: Eukaryota; Metazoa; Arthropoda; Insecta; Coleoptera; Dytiscidae. The record is from RNAcentral.
UAUUAAAGUUGUUGCGGUUAAAAAGCUCGUAGUUGAAUCUGUGUCUCGCGCUGUCGGUUCGCCGCCCGCGGCGUUAAACUGGCACGCACGCGAGACGUCCUGCCGGUGGGAGCGGCACGCGCGCCUGCUUGGACCGCGCGCUCCGUGGCGACCCCGCGUCGUCCGCGGUAGCGCCGGACCCUGGGUCCGGUCCGCUGCGCGCCCGUCCCGACCACGAAUCCCGUUGCGGUGCUCUUCGCCGAGUGUCGCUGCGGGCCGGCACGUUUACUUUGAACAAAUUAGAGUGCUCAAAGCAGGCCGAAAAUUCGCCUGGAUACUGUGUGCAUGGAAUAAUGGAACAGGACCUCGGUUCUAUUUUGUUGGUUUUCGGAAGCCCCGAGGUAAUGAUCGAUAGGGACAGAUGGGGGCAUUCGUAUUGCGACGUUAGAGGUGAAAUUCUUGGACGUCGCAAGACGGACGGAAGCGAAAGCAUUUGCCAAAAAUGUUUUCAUUAAUCAAGAACGAAAGUCAGAGGUUCGAAGGCGAUCAGAUACCGCCCUAGUUCUGACCAUAAACGAUGCCAGCUAGCGAUCCGCCGACGUUCCUCCGAUGACUCGGCGGGCAGCAUCCGGGAAACCAAAGCUUUUGGGUUCCGGGGGAAGUAUGGUUGCAAAGCUGAAACUUAAAGGAAUUGACGGAAGGGCACCACCAGGAGUGGAGCCUGCGGCUUAAUUUGACUCAACACUGGAAACCUCACCAGGCCCGGACACCGGAAGGAUUGACAGAUUGAGAGCUCUUUCUUGAUUCGGUGGGUGGUGGUGCAUGGCCGUUCUUAGUUGGUGGAGCGAUUUGUCUGGUUAAUUCCGAUAACCAACGAGACUCAUGGUCACGUCUCGUGCA